GUAUAAUGGGUCAGCGACUUAUAUUCUGUAGCAAGGUUAACCGUAUAGGGGAGCCGUAGGGAAACCGAGUCUUAACCGGGCGUUAAGUUGCAGGGUAUAGACCCGAAACCCGGUGAUCUAGCCAUGGGCAGGUUGAAGGUUGGGUAACACUAACUGGAGGACCGAACCGACUAAUGUUGAAAAAUUAGCGGAUGACCUGUGGCUGGGGGUGAAAGGCCAAUCAAACCGGGAGAUAGCUGGUUCUCCCCGAAAGCUAUUUAGGUAGCGCCUCGUGAAUUCAUCUCCGGGGGUAGAGCACUGUUUCGGCUAGGGGGCCAUCCCGGCUUACCAACCCGAUGCAAACUGCGAAUACCGGAGAAUGUUAUCACGGGAGACACACGGCGGGUGCUAACGUCCGUCGUGAAGAGGGAAACAACCCAGACCGCCAGCUAAGGUCCCAAAGUCAUGGUUAAGUGGGAAACGAUGUGGGAAGGCCCAGACAGCCAGGAUGUUGGCUUAGAAGCAGCCAUCAUUUAAAGAAAGCGUAAUAGCUCACUGGUCGAGUCGGCCUGCGCGGAAGAUGUAACGGGGCUAAACCAUGCACCGAAGCUGCGGCAGCGACGCUGAUGCGUUGUUGGGUAGGGGAGCGUUCUGUAAGCCUGUGAAGGUGGCCUGUGAGGGUUGCUGGAGGUAUCAGAAGUGCGAAUGCUGACAUAAGUAACGAUAAAGCGGGUGAAAAGCCCGCUCGCCGGAAGACCAAGGGUUCCUGUCCAACGUUAAUCGGGGCAGGGUGAGUCGACCCCUAAGGCGAGGCCGAAAGGCGUAGUCGAUGGGAAACGGGUUAAUAUUCCCGUACUUGGUGUUACUGCGAAGGGGGGACGGAGAAGGCUAUGUUGGCCGGGCGACGGUUGUCCCGGUUUAAGCGUGUAGGUGUGUGUUCCAGGUAAAUCCGGUUCACUUUAACACUGAGGCGUGACGACGAGGCACUACGGUGCUGAAGCAACAAAUGCCCUGCUUCCAGGAAAAGCCUCUAAGCAUCAGGUAACAUCAAAUCGUACCCCAAACCGACACAGGUGGUCAGGUAGAGAAUACCAAGGCGCUUGAGAGAACUCGGGUGAAGGAACUAGGCAAAAUGGUGCCGUAACUUCGGGAGAAGGCACGCUGACACGUAGGUGAAGUGAUUUACUCAUGGAGCUGAAGUCAGUCGAAGAUACCAGCUGGCUGCAACUGUUUAUUAAAAACACAGCACUGUGCAAACACGAAAGUGGACGUAUACGGUGUGACGCCUGCCCGGUGCCGGAAGGUUAAUUGAUGGGGUCAGCGCAAGCGAAGCUCCUGAUCGAAGCCCCGGUAAACGGCGGCCGUAACUAUAACGGUCCUAAGGUAGCGAAAUUCCUUGUCGGGUAAGUUCCGACCUGCACGAAUGGCGUAAUGAUGGCCAGGCUGUCUCCACCCGAGACUCAGUGAAAUUGAACUCGCUGUGAAGAUGCAGUGUACCCGCGGCAAGACGGAAAGACCCCGUGAACCUUUACUAUAGCUUGACACUGAACAUUGAGCCUUGAUGUGUAG
RNAcentral lists this ribosomal RNA (1548 nucleotides) under Salmonella enterica subsp. enterica serovar Virchow. RNAcentral's name for it is "partial 23S ribosomal RNA". It matches the Rfam family "Bacterial large subunit ribosomal RNA", at positions 610 to 2141 of the family's 2925-position model. Lineage: Bacteria; Pseudomonadati; Pseudomonadota; Gammaproteobacteria; Enterobacterales; Enterobacteriaceae. The record is from RNAcentral.